UACAGGGGUGCAACGUUGCUCGGAAUCAUUGGCGUAAAGCGCACGUAGGCGGUUCGUUAUGUCGGAUGUGAAGCCCUUGGCUUAACCGAGGAAGUGCAUCCGAAACUGGCGAGCUAGAGUACGAAAGAGGAUCGCGGAAUUCCCGGUGUAGAGGUGAAAUUCGUAGAUAUCGGAGGAACACCGGUGGCGAAGGCGGCGAUCUGGGUCGAUACUGACGCUGAGGCGCGAAAGCGUGGGGAGCAAACAGGG
This 249-nucleotide ribosomal RNA is filed under the name uncultured bacterium. Its description in RNAcentral is "partial 16S ribosomal RNA". It matches the Rfam family "Bacterial small subunit ribosomal RNA", at positions 524 to 777 of the family's 1533-position model. The record is from RNAcentral.